GGGAGGUAAGUUAAUUAAACUACGGGGUUCAUGUCUCCAUAAUAUACUUUUGUGUUCUCCU
RNAcentral lists this transfer RNA (61 nucleotides) under Senga ophiocephalina. RNAcentral's name for it is "tRNA-Met". The record is from RNAcentral. Lineage: Eukaryota; Metazoa; Platyhelminthes; Cestoda; Bothriocephalidea; Bothriocephalidae.